Molecule: ribosomal RNA, 559 nt
Filed under: Trichoderma hamatum
Lineage: Eukaryota; Fungi; Ascomycota; Sordariomycetes; Hypocreales; Hypocreaceae
Description: eukaryotic LSU rRNA
Rfam family: 5.8S ribosomal RNA (bases 184-337)
Source: RNAcentral
CCGAGUUUACAACUCCCAAACCCAAUGUGAACGUUACCAAACUGUUGCCUCGGCGGGGUCACGCCCCGGGUGCGUAAAAGCCCCGGAACCAGGCGCCCGCCGGAGGAACCAACCAAACUCUUUCUGUAGUCCCCUCGCGGACGUAUUUCUUACAGCUCUGAGCAAAAAUUCAAAAUGAAUCAAAACUUUCAACAACGGAUCUCUUGGUUCUGGCAUCGAUGAAGAACGCAGCGAAAUGCGAUAAGUAAUGUGAAUUGCAGAAUUCAGUGAAUCAUCGAAUCUUUGAACGCACAUUGCGCCCGCCAGUAUUCUGGCGGGCAUGCCUGUCCGAGCGUCAUUUCAACCCUCGAACCCCUCCGGGGGAUCGGCGUUGGGGAUCGGGACCCCUCACCGGGUGCCGGCCCUGAAAUACAGUGGCGGUCUCGCCGCAGCCUCUCCUGCGCAGUAGUUUGCACAACUCGCACCGGGAGCGCGGCGCGUCCACGUCCGUAAAACACCCAACUUCUGAAAUGUUGACCUCGGAUCAGGUAGGAAUACCCGCUGAACUUAAGCAUAUCAA